GUGGCUCUCAGCCACAGUGCUGUGUCUGAUCAGUCUGAGGAUGGUCUCUGGUUCCUGCAGGGCCUGGAAACUGCCCACGAUCUGAAGUCUGUUUCAUCAGUGCUGCAUGUUGAUGGCCAUAGAGUGCCCUGCACACAUCUGCUGUGAUGAUGCAUGAAUAUUUGUUUCUUGGGAGAAAAGAGAUUGGGGCCCACUAAUAGAGGUUAGAGAUGACAAGGAACUGAGCUGGGUGGACUCAUCAACAUAGAGAUGACCACCAAGCCAAGCAGGGUAGCUGAGGAAGACAGGGCCGGAAGGUACACUGAGGCUAAGUAGCUUGACUUAUUUCUUAUGCCUCAUCCUAGAGGGCAGAUACCCGAAUACGGAAGUGUGGCAUUUUAGUAUGGAUACAAACCAAUGUGCAAAUUAUGUUAUAGUUCUGGGAUGAGGGAAGUUUAGUAAAUGUGUUUACAGAUGCAAUGGCAAUGAGUUUUGAGAGCUCAGAAUGG
RNAcentral lists this long non-coding RNA (488 nucleotides) under Homo sapiens (human). RNAcentral describes it as "HSALNT0141558". Lineage: Eukaryota; Metazoa; Chordata; Mammalia; Primates; Hominidae. The record is from RNAcentral.